UGCCUGUCUGUUGCCACGGUUACCGAGCUGAGAGAGGGAAGUGAAAGACUGAAAAGCAGCUUCACCCAAACUCCCAGUUUCUCUGUCUCUGUCUCUGCAGUGGGUAGAGUCCCCCCCUCCCUGACGGUGCUCCCUCCCUCCGUGGAGGAGCUGGACCAGGGGAAGGCCACGCUCAUGUGCCUGGCCAACAAGGGCUUCCCCUCAGACUGGAGUCUGUCCUGGAAGGUGGACGGCAGCAGCAGCAUCAGCAACGGGGAGCAGAGCAGGAGCCCCGGGGUGCUGCAGAAGGACGGCCACUACAGCUGGAGCAGCACCCUGAGGCUCCCUGCAGACCAGUGGAGGAAGGUGGUCUCUGUGACCUGUGAGGCCAGCCAGGGCUCCCAGACUCCGCUCUCAGAGACACUGAGGAGAGACCAGUGUUCCCAGUCCUGACCUGACUCACUGGGACUCUCACACUGCUUUCACUCUCUCUCUGCUCUCUGGCUUUUCUCUGUCUCUUUAUUUCUACCCUGAGACCAACUAAACAUCAUUAGUCUUCAACUUCUCAUGUGUUUUUCCCAUGUUUUAGGACAAUAAAGUUCUUUCUUCAAAU
Molecule: non-coding RNA, 592 nt
Organism: Mugil cephalus (flathead mullet)
Lineage: Eukaryota; Metazoa; Chordata; Actinopteri; Mugiliformes; Mugilidae
Source: the annotation of a RefSeq genome assembly